RNAcentral lists this ribosomal RNA (526 nucleotides) under uncultured bacterium. RNAcentral's name for it is "bacterial SSU rRNA". It matches the Rfam family "Bacterial small subunit ribosomal RNA", at positions 505 to 1032 of the family's 1533-position model. The record is from RNAcentral.
GUGCCAGCCGCCGCGGUAAUACGUAGGGUGCGAGCGUUGUCCGGAAUUACUGGGCGUAAAGAGCUCGUAGGUGGUUUGUCGCGUCGUCUGUGAAAUUCCGGGGCUUAACUCCGGGCGUGCAGGCGAUACGGGCAUAACUUGAGUGCUGUAGGGGAGACUGGAAUUCCUGGUGUAGCGGUGAAAUGCGCAGAUAUCAGGAGGAACACCGAUGGCGAAGGCAGGUCUCUGGGCAGUAACUGACGCUGAGGAGCGAAAGCAUGGGUAGCGAACAGGAUUAGAUACCCUGGUAGUCCAUGCCGUAAACGGUGGGCGCUAGGUGUGGGGUCUUCCACGACUUCUGUGCCGUAGCUAACGCAUUAAGCGCCCCGCCUGGGGAGUACGGCCGCAAGGCUAAAACUCAAAGGAAUUGACGGGGGCCCGCACAAGCGGCGGAGCAUGUGGAUUAAUUCGAUGCAACGCGAAGAACCUUACCUGGGCUUGACAUAUGCCGGAUCGGCGCAGAGAUGCGUUUUCCCUGUGGUCGGUA